CAGCUCAAUUGGUAGAGCAUGAGAUUCUUAAUCUUGGGGCCAUGCGUUUGAUCCCCACAUUGGGCAAAAAGA
Non-coding RNA from Podarcis lilfordi (Lilford's wall lizard), 72 nucleotides. The record is from the annotation of a GenBank genome assembly. Lineage: Eukaryota; Metazoa; Chordata; Lepidosauria; Squamata; Lacertidae.